AAUAAUUAAUUUAACAGAUGGUGGUGUGAACAAAAUAAUGGUGGUGUGAACACAACUUUGUGGAAUCCGUAAAAGAAUUUAAA
RNAcentral lists this small RNA (83 nucleotides) under Arabidopsis thaliana (thale cress). RNAcentral's name for it is "ATSL277530". The record is from RNAcentral. Lineage: Eukaryota; Viridiplantae; Streptophyta; Magnoliopsida; Brassicales; Brassicaceae.